GAUGAAGAACGUAGCGAAAUGCGAUAAGUAAUGUGAAUUGCAGAAUUCAGUGAAUCAUCGAAUCUUUGAACGCACAUUGCGCCCGCCAGCAUUCUGGCGGGCAUGCCUGUUCGAGCGUCAUUUCAACCCUCGACCUCCCCUUGGGGAGGUCGGCGUUGGGGACCGGCAGCACACCGCCGGCCCUGAAAUGGAGUGGCGGCCCGUCCGCGGCGACCUCUGCGCAGUAAUCCAGCUCGCACCGGGACCCCGACGCGGCCACGCCGUAAAACACCCAACUUCUGAACGUUGACCUCGAAUCAGGUAGGACUACCCGCUGAACUUAAGCAUAUCAAUAAGCGGAGGA
RNAcentral lists this unclassified non-coding RNA (343 nucleotides) under soil metagenome. RNAcentral describes it as "partial contains 5.8S ribosomal RNA, internal transcribed spacer 2, and large subunit ribosomal RNA". The stretch from base 1 to 120 matches the Rfam family "5.8S ribosomal RNA", at positions 35 to 154 of the family's 154-position model. The record is from RNAcentral.